CAUUCAGCAUUCUUCAACAAACACUCUGUUGCCUGUGCCCAGAGACCCAGAUGCUGGAACCUGACCGCCCGGAUCUAAUUCUAGUCCCACCACUUACCAGCUGGCUGACUUGGCAGGCAACUUCACCUGUUGUGCUUCCGUUUUCCAUAGAUAAGAUGGAAUCUGGCUAACAUCAACGUCACUGAGCAGGCUGGGUGCAGCAACUCACGCCUGUAAUUCCAGCACUUUGGGAGGCUGAGGAGGUGGGAGGAUCACUUGAGCCAAGGAAUUUGAGUCCAGCCUGGGUAACAUAGCAAGACACCCCCCAAUAAAGAAUCGAGCCUGCCCAGCCUAUGGGUGCUGAUUGCUCCAAACAAUCCCUGCAUUCCCCCAUAAAGUCCAGGCUGCCCGAACCAUGGCCAGUAAUACUGGAGAACAACCCCUCCAACCGAGCUGCCCAAACUGGCUGCCAAUCCGCAAGAACGGCCCCUUAUCCAGCCUGCACCCCCACCCUCUCCAUGGCUGCUAAUCCUGGAAACAAUCCCUCUAUUCCCACUUCAGAAGCUGGCUGCGCCUCCCCCAUGAGACACCUCUGCGCCCUCCCCGAAUGAGCCGCACGUCUGCUUCUCCAAACGGCCGCUGUGCCCGGUGCUCAGCGCAUCUCAACUCGCGGCAGGCCGCCCCGCGAGCCGCCUCUCCCUUUCCUGCGGCUCGAAGGGACCCCAGCGUGAACCGUGUGCUUGUUUUUCAUUGUCUCCAUCUCGGGGCUUCCUUGUAGAGUUUGGAGCUCCGCGUGAACAGCGCUCUACGCGCUAGUUCCAUCGGCUCCUCGGUGCCCGCACGCAGCCGCGCGUGCCAGUCAGUGCCUGGGUCACCGCGAAUUCCAUCCCAACCCGCUCCGGCACCGCGACGGUCUCUCCUGUCACUGGAGACGUUUCUUGUGUCAGUGCAAAUAUAUGUCGUUCCUUGUUUUUUUCUAUUAAAGACAGUGCUUGGUGGGAACAUUUCUGCACUACUGGAGUUUCUGAAGCUUCAACCCCACGCACCAGGCCCACCCACACCCGGGCCCCCGUUCCCCCGCCCGACCCACCCACAACCAGCCACCUAGCUCAGAUCCCGGCCCAUGAUCUGCACCCCACGCCCGCCCCACACUCAAAACCGCUCCCCAAGGCCGCCUAAGCCCGCACCCCAUGGCCUGAGUCUCCUCCCACACCCGGCUUUCCCCGUGCCCAGCAACUUCUGCAAUGCCCGAUCCCCCAGUAUCCUGGCCCCCUGCAUUCCAGACCCCCACACCCUCUAGCCAUCGUCCCCCACGUCCCGGCCCCACCCCAUGUCUGACUCUCCCACGCCCAGGGCCUCCCUCACAGCUUUCCCUGUCACACUUUGGUCACCUUCCCACACCCAGACCCCUGCCCAGCGCUGGGCCCACCCUA
RNAcentral lists this long non-coding RNA (1412 nucleotides) under Homo sapiens (human). RNAcentral's name for it is "non-protein coding lnc-FXYD4-2:1". Lineage: Eukaryota; Metazoa; Chordata; Mammalia; Primates; Hominidae. The record is from RNAcentral.